UGUACAUCCCCAGAGGAUUCUCCCUCGACUUCCUGCUCACAACCAUCUCAGAGUCCACGUCCUAGAGAAUCUGACCUGAGACUUUCAGGUUUUAGGAUGACCAGUGAGAUGAUCAGUACUUCAGAACCCUCCAAGGUGAUGGGUCAUUCAAGCUCCAGUAACGUCAAGGCCUCAACAGUUUGGACAUAACUUUAGGCAACACAUACAAGACCCACAUGUCUCCACUGAUACGACUGGGGAUCUCAUCAAGAAACUACUCAACGAAGCCAGAUGCUGGAGUCUUCUGAAGGUGGCAGCUGUUAAUACAGAACUUGAUGAAGAAGAUGCCAGAAUCUCAGCUGGAGUUCACAAAACCCUAGCCAGUCCUAACUCAGAAGGGCCUGCACACCCUUUAAUCCAGCAAAAUUAACUCAAGAGCAUGUGGGACCUGAAAUACAAUCUCUGCAUAUUAUUGCGGGUGCUUCAAGCAAAGAAAAGAACCUGAUUUCACAUUUGAGAUGCAUUUUAAACCAAAGGUCUGUUCUGGUACCUCCACAAGGAAGCAUCAGUCAGACCAAAGAAAGUUUACAUCCAGGGAUUUGUCUUCUGGAGUGGAUCUCACUGACCUACAAGAAUUGAU
This is a long non-coding RNA of Cercocebus atys (sooty mangabey), 619 nucleotides long. RefSeq lists it as uncharacterized. The record is from RefSeq and is a predicted model, not a curated record. The transcript has 3 exons. Lineage: Eukaryota; Metazoa; Chordata; Mammalia; Primates; Cercopithecidae.